Molecule: transfer RNA, 77 nt
Filed under: Candidatus Woesebacteria bacterium RBG_16_42_24
Lineage: Bacteria; Candidatus Woeseibacteriota
Also listed under: 2 other names
Description: tRNA-Val
Rfam family: tRNA
About the family: Transfer RNA (tRNA) molecules are approximately 80 nucleotides in length. Their secondary structure includes four short double-helical elements and three loops (D, anti-codon, and T loops).
Source: RNAcentral
GGACGGUUAGCUCAGUUGGCUAGAGCGCUUACUUGACGUGUAAGAGGUCAGGGGUUCGAGUCCCUUACCGUCCACCU